UUGACAGCGGUAGAGACUGUAGUCCUCUAUUUAUCCAUAGAAGAGUUAUAGCAUGGCCACUUGCAGUGUAAGAUUCCCCCCACUGUUGCUACCAGUGUGCCUCAAGUCUGUUCUGAUACAGACAUCUUUAACUUUAGGGACAAGUUUACCUUUAUUCUACAUAAUCCUUGAUCUAAUGUCUACU
This 184-nucleotide small RNA is filed under the name Chrysemys picta bellii (western painted turtle). Its description in RNAcentral is "TUC338 (ENSCPBG00000014987.1)". The record is from RNAcentral. Lineage: Eukaryota; Metazoa; Chordata; Testudines; Emydidae.